Molecule: long non-coding RNA, 2320 nt
Organism: Mastomys coucha (southern multimammate mouse)
Lineage: Eukaryota; Metazoa; Chordata; Mammalia; Rodentia; Muridae
Exons: 3
Source: RefSeq, a predicted model, not a curated record
AGAGAAAGGGAUGGUGGGAGAGGGAGGGGAGAUGAACAUGGAGGCCAAAAUGUAGGUAGCAGAGGUCCCGGUUCAGGUGGCAGAUCUAUUGGGAAUUAACCAGAGGAUUUAACUUAGAAUGGCAUACAAACUUGGAUGCUAGUUGAUGCGCCUAGCGAUUGUGUUACCUGUUGAUUCUGAACUAGGUUUGUGUAGUGUCUUCCUUCACCCAGCUACCCAACUGGGUUCCAGAGAGAAAGAUUGAGAUAGAGCCCUCUGCUGCUGCUCCAGCUACCUACCACCAUGCCUUUGCCCUGCCAUCAUGGACUCAAGUCCUCUGGAAAGUGUAAAAGUAAUUUUUAGUCUCCAGAUCUAACUGCCCUCCUGGAGGCUUACUGCUGACCCUGUAGUCCCUAGGCAAUGCUCUACAAAAUCUAUCAAAGCUGAGUGGCCAGCCCGUCCUUUCUGCCCCACCUAUGUUGGCAGUAAGAUGCCCUGCAGGACAUGUCAAAAAUGGUGUCUCUUGUCAAAAUGGCAGCAUCAGGACAUCUCCUCAGCCUGGAGCCAACACAGGAGCUGUCCACAGUGGCAACAUCUUUCCUUCCUCAGCUUUUGUGAAACACCACUGCAGGAGCUGUCCCACAGGAGCUGUCCACUGUGGCAGGCUUCCUCUCCAGUCUCCCUCCUGCCCCCAACCCUGGGCAGUUCCACAGAGAUGGUGCCUCACCAAAAACCUGCUGUAGCUGGAAAGGACGUCCUACCAUAACAUAUGGGCCCAAUGCAGGGGAGGGGGUUUGUGAAAAAAAGCUACCAAUCUCUGAGCAGGAAAACCCACCAAUCCCUGAGCUCCCCAAGCUCAGGACUUGAAAUCCCAACAAUCCUCAAUCUGGAAGUCUCUGCCCUGAGAAGCUCCACCCCCUCUGAAAUCCUGUAUAGGUACUGCCUCUUUGUCCCAAUCCCUGCUGUCUGCUCCCAGGGGCAGAGGCAGCCACCCUGGAUUCAUCUCUUCAUACCCUGGAUCUUACAAUGAAUCUUUUUCAUGAGAUUUGCUGCCUGGUGUGACUCUCUCAUCAGAAGAAGAAGAAGAAAAAAAUACAAGCAAUACUGAGAAGAAGCUAAGAGAAGGGGCUGUGCUGAGGCACUGGGUUCCCUCCCCUGGGAGCUGCAACACCUAUGCUGAGCAGGCCUCUCAGAGCUUCGAGCUUCCUGGGUUUCCAGUCUCAGGAUUCUCUCCUUCUGGGUCAGUGUCACACCUCAGAUCUGUGUGGCUCCUAGCUCCCGUGUCUCAGGAUGCCCUUCCACUGGGACACCUGUUCCUGCCACAGCUGUGUGGUUCCUGCAAUUCUGAGUCCCAGGGUACCCUCCCACCCAAGCAGAAACACAAGUCAGACCACGCAGACCCAGAAGGUCUUGGGAUAUGAUCAGAAUAGUCAUGUUGCUCUAUAGGAAAAGUAGGGCAAAUUUAACCCGGUUUUAUAAGUUCUCUUGGCCAUGGUACAUCGCAUCAACAGAAAGGUGACUAGUAUAAGCAGGAGGGUUUCCUUUGUGUUGUCUGGUCAUUUAUCAUAGUGGCCCCCUUUCUUGAUCUCUCUGGGGCAUUCAUUGUAAUUCUGUUUUGCUUGUCCUGUUCCCUCUGGGUCCCUUCUCUUCUGUUUUGUUAUUGCAGGCAGUAGCUACUGUCCAAUAUCUGGCAUAAAACCUUAAUCACCAAGGAAGUGAACAGGAGUCUGUGAUCAGGCUGAGUGGCAGCUGAGCAGAACUGGCUGUUCUACUGUGAGCCUAGGAGUCUGUGAUUGGGGUGAGAGGCAGCCAAGCAGAGCUGGCCAUUUUACUGUGAGCCCCACUAUUUGCAGCAUGGUGCACUUUUUCUUGCUUCAGAAGUGUAUUUCAGGGAAGAAUCCUGCUGGCUCCUGCCUGGGAGAAAACUGUGUCAAACACGAAGAAGGCCUGGCUGAAAUCCAUGUUUGCUGACAUCUGUAAUCCUAGAUCUGAUGAUGAGAUGAGAAAGUUGCCUUAAAUUCGAAGAUAUCUGGAAUACAAAAUGAACCCUAGGAUUUUCAGCCUGUGCUACAAAGUGAAUCCUGGCCUCAGAAAACACCAGCGACAGACUGGAGAGAUGGCUUAGCAGCUCAGAGCACUGGCAGCUUUUCCAGAGGACCCAGGCUCUGAGCAUCCACGGGGUGGUCCACACUCACCUGUAAGUCCAGUCCCAGGAGACUUGCACCUCUUUUAGCCUCUUCUGGCACGAGGCCUGCAAGUAGUACACAGAUAUACAUACAGGGAAAACACUCAAUACACAUAGAAGAAAAAAGCAGAAAUAAUAAACACAAAUAAACUAAAA